UCCAGCAAUACUACAACGAGCCAUAUAUUCUAAACAGGUUUUUUUAAAGGGAAAAGUACAUAUUUGUACAAAAAAUAUUUAUAGGAGCUCUUUUUGUGGAGGCAUAGAUUUGGAAAUUGAGGGGAUGUCCAUCAAUUGGGGAAUGGUUAAAGAACUUACAGCCAAAAGGGGGUGAUUACCUCUGACUUAUGGGCAGCUACACAAAAAGCAUUCAUAUGCCUGAAAAGGAGCUCAGCAGGGAACGAGAUGAUGACCCAAGUCACCAAAGCCUUGUCAUCCCUCCAUCAAUGACACCACAAUGCUUCUGACUGGGACUGGGAAGCUAUUCUAGCCCUGUCUUCUCUUUAGCAUCCAAGGGAAGAAGAGAGUCAACACUUGAGUGUGUCCUGAAGACACAGGUGAGGAAAAUUUCUGGUCUGAAUAUUCCAUUUAGCAUAGGAGGGUCUGGGUGACCCUUUGUGGAGGACUAUUUAACCUGAGAGAUAUAUUGUCAAAUUCUAGAUGGUGGAAGAGAAAUAGAUUCACCUAUUCGAAAAUGAAGGGGCCCCUCUCAAAAUCCAGAAGUGAACAGCAAGGAUGGAAUUGCCCAUGAGAGGAAAGGUGACGGAGUGGUCAGAGAGAAUCAGAUAGGAAAUCUCCCUGAAAACGAAACUCUGACAUGCCACUCUUUGCAAAUCCAAAGAAAUGCGUUCUCCCUUGUAUUCCAGGAACAAUGGCCAUAAUGCUGAGAAGCAGUACAAUCUGGAAGAAAGAUCCUGAGACCCACCAAGGUGGGAAUUUCAGGGAAACUUGGUCAGUCUGAGGUCACCUAUGUGAUAUUUGCCUUCCUUGUCUAUUUUGAGAAUUGGCCUUGUCUGUAGAAGGAAGAAAGAGUUACUCUGAGAUGGUUUGUGCAAGGGACACACUCACAAGAUGUCUUAUAACCAAACAAGAAGAAUCUCAUGAAGACACUGCUUUGUAUCCACAGGGAGGGACAGAUUGUAUACCAUCCAAGUGAAGACUUCCUUAACUUUUGAUAAUCCCAAUCAAUCCUAGACUGGCUCUUGAUGAAGUAGCUAUUGGGAAGAAUCUGCUAGGAAGACAAGAGUGAAUCCUAUUAUCCCUUUAAUGUGUUCACCACAACAUAUUCUACUUCUCUAGCCCCUUCUCUUGGUUCCAGACCCAAGGAAAAAAGGCCUUUAGAUGAGCAAGAGAAGCAAACGAUCUGAAAACAACUGAGGCAGUCAGUCUUUGUGGAUAUUGCUCAUUAUCAAUCUGAGGUACGGCAUCACUGUAGAGUAACAAAUGUUUUUCUUCCUCCUUCUUCCUCUCAUCCUUCUCCUCUUGUUCCUCCCCGAGUCCAACCUUACUACCAUCCAACUGCUCCCAAAACCACAUUCCACUGCCCACAUUCCAAUUCCACAACAGUCUAGGUCACUCGGCUUUUCAAUGUAGUAGUCAAGAAAGAGAUGGCAGCCAGUUGGAAAAGUUUUGUUGUUUCCCAUCACAAUUGGGCCUUCUCUAGGAUUAGUCCUUUAUGGAUAAAAGAAUAUACACACAUUCACUUUGAUGAACACACACAUACACACACACUCCACCCAAACAGGUAUUUUUUUUGGUAUCUAUAUAUGUACAGAUGGAUAGAUGGGGCUGAAUUCACUAUGAUUCCACGCAAGUCUACAAAAGAAAUGUCAAAUGUUUUGUGUCCACAAAAUUAUCAAGUGUGUUGCUUGACCUCAAGCUACCAUUUCAAGUCUAUAUAGCCUUUGGCAUUGAAUGUCUCUUCUUGCGUCCUUCUUGUAUUUCUCGGGUAUGAGUGAAUGAUACAAUAAGGGUCAUGUUAAAGUGAGAGAAAGGGUCUUUUCUAUCCCUGUUAACACUACUCAAGUCCCUCAAUUUACAGCAAAGAGGGUGAUGAAGAAAAAGGACUUCUCUACCUCCAUACUGACAUUUCCAUUAACAUUUACUAUUCACCUGGCUGAGUGACCAUGGAAGCAAAGGUAUAUCGAGUUUUGAGCUUUCUCUUUUUUGAAUCAAUGGAACUUAGACUUCUAGUUCUCAUAUUUAGAUACAUAGAAAGACAGAUAGAUAGGAACAUAAUGAUAUAGAGAUAGACAGAAAUAUACAGAGAUAGAUAUACAUAAGGAUAGUAGAUAGACAGACAGAGACAUAGAGAAAUAUAUAGAUAUCCUCUCCGUUUGCUCCUCAGGACUUCCAAUUACCACUAUCUUGGCAAGAUUUAUUUCAGUUUCUUAGCAUCUGUGGCUUGGCGAAGAGCUCACCUCUCAAUAUCCCACCUUUCUCCUUCUCCCCGUCUCUCCCUAAAAGCCCUAAGCCUUUGACCAUGGUAGCGUACUUAAGGCCUAAAGAAAUGGAACAACUAUGGGCUUAGACUACCUGAUGAACACAAUGAAUAUUAAUGGCCAGCAAAGAAAGCUGCACAUACCUACUUGGCCACAAAUGGCUCCUAGGAUCCCAGAUAAAGAUGAUGGACAACACACCAAAACCACACCUCCAGAAAACACCACAAAGAAAAUCACCCGACUCUCCUCUCCUCUCCACUGACCUCCACUGCACCUUCUACCACUACAAGGCAAAUGCCACUGGAUACCUCAGGUAUCUUAGCACCCCCUUCAUUCUGUUACCAUGGCAUGAUGCAACCACCACAACAAUCCUCCAUCAUUCCAGCAGACCACCUCAGAGUAGCAAAGGCAAUGCUUCCUCUUGGGUUUGGGCUCUGGAGCUCAAGGAGGGCAGAGGUCAGGCCUAGACACCCUGGGGCCUUUGACUUUCAUCUCCCCAUCCUCUCAGGGGCCCUGACUUCCAUCCUUUUGGAAUCACACACAAGAGUUAUGUGCCCUAAGUGAUCUUCUCCUCCCACCAGGCUGAAAUUUGCUUCUUUCAGUUACUUGGCACUUUCUUUUCUGCACCUGCCAAAUUACCCACUGGGGCUGGAGGAAUCUGCACUUUAGCCUCCAUGACACCUCUCUUCUGACUUGGUCUGCACACAUUAUGGUUUCCCAACCUCAAUCAGAUCUCUGCUCCCCUCAGUGUCUCAGUUUCUACUAUUCUGAGUCCCCUGGAGAGAAACUGGAGGCCAACUUCCUCCUAGCAAGAGAGAAACAGUUAAUUUUCAACACCUGUUUCUGCUCACCUUUGCCUCUCCCACCUUGGCACACUGUUUCCUGGAUCCUCUCUUUUAAGUCAGAGACUCACCUGUUUUCCUUUGAAGCAGAAAGAGCUCAAUCUCUCCCCUGGACCAACACUGAAAUAGAAAGCUCGUUUCUCUAGUGGCUUGACUUCUCUAUGCAGUGUCCUAAGCAAUCCUUCCUUUCCUCCAAAGAACCACCCAGGGCCCCAUUAUUCCUUCUAUUCCCUCUCAGAACUGCCCUGAAGGUUGAAAAAUGGUGCUUCAGGGAUCUUCCUUACUGCCUGCCAACUUCACCUGCUCCCAACUUUUCCUUCCUCUUCAGCACAGAGCUCACGCAUUCUUUUCUCUUCUUAGCAACUACAAUCUGUUGACUUUCCAAGUUCACUUUUUCAUUUUCCUUGUAGCCUCUCUUCUGCAUCUCUACAUCAUUGCUGUGCUUCCUUAAUUGGUGGUCUCUCCUAGACAUUGUUCCUGACCCAUGGUCACCACACAACCCUUCCACUAAUCAAUGGAUCCUACUCUCUUUUUGGUCUCUUCACAGCAGCCCUUCAUCCUGAAGGCCUCUUUAUGAGGCCAGCUCAUCCAUUCCCUCUGCUACUCCUGCAUGACCUUGACCUGUUUUGGCUUGCUUUCCUUCCCUCAACUUUCCCUCACACCUAAGCCACAAAUUCCAGAGGCCUCACACCAAAUUUCAGUCACUGGCCUUGCCCCCAAUACCAAAAUCCUCCUCUUUCCCUCCAGACUCCUCCUGGCUUCAGCAGCCCUACUUCAACAGCAGCUUCUCCUAGGAAGAGCUCCAGAAGAACCUGGCUGUCAAUGCUCCUGCCAGACAUGCUGUAUGUUCUUUCUCUACCUGCUGCUGGUUCCAGAAAUGUCUCACUCAAGGCCAAAAGGGGUUGGUUGCCUCUGCCUUGUGUGCUGCACAAAAAGCAUUUGCAUCCCUGAAAAGGAGCUUAGCAGGGAAUGAGAUGAUGACCCAAGUCACCAAAGCUUUGCCAUCCCUCCAUCAAUGACACCACAGCGCUUCUGACUGGGAGUGGGCAGCUAUUCUAUCUGUCUUCUCUUCAGCAUCUGAGGAAGAAGAGAACCAGUAGUUAAGUGUGUCCUGAAGACACAGGAUCUGGCUCAACACAGACUCCAAGAUUUCCAACCAAGAUGAGUGGAAAAUAACGAUACCACUAACAUAAGUCAGAAACCACCUCUGGGGUGAAAAUCAUGAGUUAAGCAUGAAUUCUCUUUGCUGUGGAGUAGGAAGAUGGAUGCAAGAAGGAUGACCAGAAGGAGGAAGAAGUGGCAAGAUGCCCUAGAAGCUUGGUACUGUAGGGAAAUUUCUGGCAGGAGAAACUGGGGGCUAGCCAUUCUAUUCCAUUCUGUUUGGCCAAGAACAGGGACGGAGAUGGAAAUUGACAGUGGUCCAGGAAGCCAGUUUUUUGCUACUGCUGAGCAAAUGCCUCCAAAGAAGAGCUGGAAUGAAACAUACCAGUGAACAGAAAUAAGGAUGGAAGAGGACGGGACUGGCAUAUAAAACCAUAACCUCAAAGAUUAAUCAGUAUACAAGACUAAUGCUGGUCAUCAGACUGGACUGCAGCUUUACAUUCCACCUAGCCAUCCAAUUUCACCAUCCAUCAACAGCCACUGAGCUGCUCUUCCUCAUCUGGACCUGUAGUAUCCACUAAGCUUCAGACUGGGAUCUCCACACUGGAGAUUUCCUGAAUCCAUGACCUACUCCUUGGAAAAGUUAAUUCAUUCAUUUUUGGCUAGCCAAUCCUACUGAAUGAGCCUGUCAAUUCCUCCCUGACCUGUCCCCAGCACAAAACUCUCCUCCCUGGUUACCUAUUCCUGUAUGUGUUAUUUUCCCUGUUGGAAUGUAAUUAGGAAAGAACUGUCUCUUUUAAAAUCUUUGUAUCCUCAGCAUUUAGUACAAUGCCUAGCACAUAAUAAGCACCUAAA
Non-coding RNA from Phascolarctos cinereus (koala), 5080 nucleotides. Lineage: Eukaryota; Metazoa; Chordata; Mammalia; Diprotodontia; Phascolarctidae. The record is from RefSeq and is a predicted model, not a curated record.